UUCAGCCGGGCAUACGAGGCGUCCAUUGUGCAACGAAAAGUUAAACUGUUGUAAAUCUUUAUUUUUCGCUAACUGUUCAACAUACUUAAUCAUGGAUAUAUGUGACAUAGAUGCUGCUACCGCUGUAGACAUUGUCGUGUUUUGGACGUUAAACUUCAUGUGUUCAAUUAGACUUGGAGUAGGUUAAAAUAUUGAAAUGAGCACUUCGUAAACGCCACCACUCUGGAUCAGCAGACGAUUUAUUGCCUAUCUUACGGAGGAAUUCGAGAUAGCCGAUGUAUCACGAAUGAAACUCUAUAAAUAAUUUGAUAAAUGUCAAGGUCUGACACACAUGGGUUUUUCUAACGAGUUCGUUACUGUUGCUACAUUUCGAUGCGUCAACAAUCAUUAAUGAAGCGCACACAUUACGGAAUUCAAUAUUCGCAUUGUGUCGCCAGAAUCUCGGCGGUCUGUUUUAUAUUUAUUAGCAAGCUAAUUAAUGGAAUUUAAAUAGUGUCGUUAUAAAGCAUUUAUAUACCCGUGGAUACGUUUAAAACAACAAAGCAUAUUCGGACUUCUGAUGAUCCUGUAAUUGUCUGUUACAUAUGUUUUGGAAGCAUCCAUGGCACGACCUGUACCUCCGAGGAAUAUACUGUGGAUCCUUUAUGUGUGCUUUGUAAUGUACUGUGCUUUGAUUGUGACAUAUCUACGGGGUUUAGUGAUGAACUGUUUAAAUCAAGCGCAAGUUGGAUUCAUGCAUACCGGUGUCGGAGGGACAUUUAAGUGGUGUUACUAUCGAACCCAUUUUAGUCAUGCAUUCGUUGGAUUUGGGAAUAGACAAUUUAAACUAAGCACUUCUCUAUCGCAUAUACUACUCCACACAAAAAGAGCUUCUACGUGUACAGGUAGAAACGAUGACGGGGGAGGAUUGCCUCGAAAAGAUGAAAGAAUAUAUCAACAGACGGUUGAGAAUGUCCUGCAGGAGAACGAAGUCAUGAGACAUCGGAUCGUGUGCACGAUAUGUAACACAAGAGACAGGCGUGUGGUGUUCCUUCCAUGCGGACAUUUUCUAACAUGUGAAUUGUGCGGGCAAGAGACAGACACCUGUCCAGCAUGCAGACGGGGAAUGAACUCGCGUGUCGUUGUGAACCAGUGACAUUAGCCGAAAUAAUUAAGCGAUGUAGUACUGUAAAAUUUAUUAAAUACUUCAAGAUUGACAUAGACAUUAAAAUGGAAACAUUUACUAUAGUUUAUUGAAAUAAUGUUAGAGGUACUUUUUAAAUGAAAUAAAGCCAUAAUGUUUUUGACCUUACAGUUGCAAAAUGAACCAAAUGGUGUAAAUGUUAUAUUUGAAAAAAACAAGUUAAGCUAACAUCAUAGAAACGCCGUUUAAAAUUAAUUUGAAACAUAUGUUGUAUUGUGUAUUGCUUUUUUUAUAAUUUUACUUCUAUGUUUAAAAGAGCCCGAAUUAUUUAAAUGCUACUGUAAUUAGUGAAUUAAUCUACACAAUGAUGCAAGCUGUGUUCUAAACACUUAAUUGACUGAGCGGUACAAAUGCGGCAAAUCUAUCUACGGCAAUACGCCACACUUUAGGCCCAUGGCUUAGUGCUACUCGUAGUACAUUAUAUUUCGCAGGUGCAGAAGGCGACGGCGCUAAACAUUUACAAAUACAAAUGUAGUUGUGGUCAGUACUGUUGCAGCAACAGUGUUAAUGAGACAGACGACAACUCAUUAUGUUUACUGUAUGUUUCAUUCGAAUUUGUAAUUGAGACCAAAGUAUGAACAUGUACUUUAUUGUCUAUGUUUGUUUUUUUACAAAAUGGAUAUUGUUUUCCUUCAUCUGCAUGACCAAGGAGAUUCCACGAUAAAGCAAGGAGCGUGAGACGUGAUAUGUAAAAGCAACCGUUUAAAUAGAACAUUUAUGUAAACUGCUAAUCGUGCAAAAACUUGUAAAUUGUAAGUACGUGCAAAAACUAUUACUUCAUAUGCUUGACAUGAAUUCCAUUAUUUUAGGUUCUAAACACUUGUAGAACACGGUUGUUGGUCAAAAUAAUUCCAGAUUUGAAUACUGUAUAUUGCAUGAAAGAGGUGGUAUUUUUUUAUUCCAUAAUGAUUUAUUUUUCAGAGUUUCAUCGUUUGCUGUAUUUAAUUUGCGUAAAACGCAAUUUGAUAGUUAAUAUGUUUGUUUAUGGCGAUGACUUUUACAUGCUUAAUUCAAAAUAAACUAUUUUGUUCCAUUAUGCUCUGCUUAUUAAAGCGUGAGAAUAAUUGUGAAGAGUGCAAAUCGGACAAUAUUCAAAAUCAUAACGCGAAAACUAAGUAUAUCUGUUCGUUUGGAUUAGUGUGGUUAUUGUUAGCUAAAAGGGACUGUAUGACGGCAAAAUCGGUACCGCCGAGUAGUGAGAUGUGUGAAAGACAAGGCAGAGAUCAAAUACUCUUGUGUUUUCGAAUUAGUAAUGAAAACAACAUUAACGAGAGGGACUUGUAAGUGGCGUUGCUAUCUGAACCAAUUUGGUCACGCAUUCGUUGUAUUUAAGAUUGGAACAUUAAAACUCGGCACUUCGAUAUCAAAUAUACUAACGAACACAAAUAGAGCUACUCGUACUACGUGUAACGGUAGGUAGAAAAGAUGAAGGGGAAAUAUUACAUCGAUACAUGGAAUUAAUAGAAGUAUAUAUGAACAGACAAGUACUCUUUUUUCCAAAAUGUAUUAGUGUGACUGAUAGGUAGUUUCGCUUGCAAGUAAAAUAUGUUGUCAAUUGUUCCGUCAAUGAAUUUGGUAUAUAGGUCACAUAUCGCAAGCAUGUGUUAUUGUUUGUUCACAGGGUUUUCCAUUGGUUUUCUAUUGGUGUUAAAAAGGUCACAAAUAUUUACAUGUCAAUUACGUUUAUGCAUGAUUAUAAAGCUACAGAUACAAUGAA
Molecule: long non-coding RNA, 2900 nt
Organism: Dreissena polymorpha
Lineage: Eukaryota; Metazoa; Mollusca; Bivalvia; Myida; Dreissenidae
Exons: 2
Source: RefSeq, a predicted model, not a curated record